RNAcentral lists this ribosomal RNA (441 nucleotides) under uncultured bacterium. RNAcentral describes it as "partial 16S ribosomal RNA". It matches the Rfam family "Bacterial small subunit ribosomal RNA", at positions 328 to 786 of the family's 1533-position model. The record is from RNAcentral.
UCGCCAGACUCCUACGGGAGGCAGCAGUGGGGAAUAUUGCACAAUGGGGGAAACCCUGAUGCAGCAACGCCGCGUGAGGGAAGACGGUUUUCGGAUUGUAAACCUCUGUCCUCUGUGAAGAUAAUGACGGUAGCAGAGGAGGAAGCUCCGACUAACUACGUGCCAGCAGCCGCGGUAAUACGUAGGGAGCAAGCGUUGUCCGGAUUUACUGGGUGUAAAGGGUGCGUAGGCGGCUUUGCAAGUCAGAAGUGAAAUCCAUGGGCUUAACCCAUGAACUGCUUUUGAAACUGCAGAGCUUGAGUGGAGUAGAGGUAGGCGGAAUUCCCGGUGUAGCGGUGAAAUGCGUAGAGAUCAUACAGAACACCGAUUGCGAAGGCAGCUUACCAAACUAUAUCUGACGUUGAGGCACGAAAGCGUGGGUAGCAAACAGGAUUAGAUACC